GAUCCUGGCUCGGGAUGAACGCUAGCUACAGGCUUAACACAUGCAAGUCGAACGAGGUAUUUUGAUUGAAGUUUUCGGAUGGAUUUCAAGAUGCCGAGUGGCGGACGGGUGAGUAACGCGUGGGUAACCUGCCUCAUACAGGGGGAUAACGGUUAGAAAUGACUGCUAAUACCGCAUAAGCGCACAGUACCGCAUGGUACGGUGUGAAAAACUCCGGUGGUAUGAGAUGGACCCGCGUCUGAUUAG
Molecule: ribosomal RNA, 246 nt
Filed under: uncultured bacterium
Lineage: Bacteria
Description: partial 16S ribosomal RNA
Rfam family: Bacterial small subunit ribosomal RNA
Source: RNAcentral